RNAcentral lists this ribosomal RNA (468 nucleotides) under uncultured bacterium. RNAcentral describes it as "partial 16S ribosomal RNA". It matches the Rfam family "Bacterial small subunit ribosomal RNA", at positions 28 to 507 of the family's 1533-position model. The record is from RNAcentral.
GACGAACGCUGGCGGCGUGCUUAACACAUGCAAGUCGAACGGAAAGGCCCUGCUUUUGUGGGGUGCUCGAGUGGCGAACGGGUGAGUAACACGUGAGUAACCUGCCCUUGACUUUGGGAUAACUUCAGGAAACUGGGGCUAAUACCGGAUAGGAGCUCCUGCUGCAUGGUGGGGGUUGGAAAGUUUCGGCGGUUGGGGAUGGACUCGCGGCUUAUCAGCUUGUUGGUGGGGUAGUGGCUUACCAAGGCUUUGACGGGUAGCCGGCCUGAGAGGGUGACCGGCCACAUGGGGACUGAGAUACGGCCCAGACUCCUACGGGAGGCAGCAGGGGGGAAUAUUGCACAAUGGGCGGAAGCCUGAUGCAGCAACGCCGCGUGCGGGAUGACGGCCUUCGGGUUGUAAACCGCUUUCGCCUGUGACGAAGCGUGAGUGACGGUAAUGGGUAAAGAAGCACCGGCUAACUACGUG